UUAAUUACCUGGCAGGGGAGAUACCAUGAUCACGAAGGUGGUUUUCCCAGGGUGAGGCUCAUCCAUUGCACUGCGGGUGUGCUGACCACUGAGAUUUCCCCAAAUGUGGGAAACUCAACUGCAUAAAAU
This 129-nucleotide small nuclear RNA is filed under the name Gopherus agassizii (Agassiz's desert tortoise). RNAcentral describes it as "U1 spliceosomal RNA". It matches the Rfam family "U1 spliceosomal RNA", at positions 1 to 130 of the family's 166-position model. Rfam says of the family: U1 is a small nuclear RNA (snRNA) component of the spliceosome (involved in pre-mRNA splicing). Its 5' end forms complementary base pairs with the 5' splice junction, thus defining the 5' donor site of an intron. The record is from Rfam by way of RNAcentral. RNAcentral also lists the same sequence under 1 other name. Lineage: Eukaryota; Metazoa; Chordata; Testudines; Testudinidae.